CCAUGCAUGUCUAAGUAUAAACGAUUUAAUCGUGAAACCGCGAAUGGCUCAUUAUAACAGCUAUAAUUUACUUGAUCUUGACACAAUCCUACUUGGAUAACUGUGGUAAUUCUAGAGCUAAUACAUGCAUUAAAGCUCUGACCUCACGGGAAGAGUGCAUUUAUUAGAACAAAACCAAGCGGCUUCGGCUGUUUCUGGUUGACUCAUAGUAACUGAGCUGAUCGCAUGGUCUUGCACCGGCGACGUGUCUUUCAAGUAUCUGCCGUAUCAACUUUCGAUGGUAGUGUAUCUGACUACCAUGGUGAUCACGCGUAACGGAGAAUAAGGGUUCGGCUCCGGAGAGUUCGCCUGAGAAAUCGCGAACACAUCUAAGGAAGGCAGCAGGCGCGAAAAUUACCCACUCUCAGCACGAGGAGGUAGUGACGAAAAAUAACGAGACCGUUCUCUUAUGAGGCCGGUCAUCGGAAUGGGUACAAUUUAAACCCUUAACGAGU
This 494-nucleotide ribosomal RNA is filed under the name Acrobeloides sp. Sourhope farm. RNAcentral describes it as "SSU rRNA". It matches the Rfam family "Eukaryotic small subunit ribosomal RNA", at positions 49 to 542 of the family's 1831-position model. Lineage: Eukaryota; Metazoa; Nematoda; Chromadorea; Rhabditida; Cephalobidae. The record is from RNAcentral.